AUACGAAGGGUGCAAGCGUUGUUCGGAUUUACUGGGCGUAAAGCGUCCGUAGGUGGUUUGUUAAGUCAGGGGUGAAAUCCAGGGGCCUAACCCCGGAACUGCCUUUGAUACUGGCAGGCUGGAGCGCGAUAGAGGAAGAUGGAAUAUCUGGUGUAGGGGUGAAAUCCGUAGAUAUCAGAUAGAACACCAAUGGCGAAGGCAGUCUUCUGGAUCGUUGCUGACACUGAGGGACGAAAGCGUGGGUAGCAAACAGAAUUAGAUACUCUGGUAGUCCACGCCCUAAACGAUGCAUGCUUGUUGUUGGUUUCCUUCGGGGAAUCAGUGACGAAGCUAACGCGUUAAGCAUGCCGCCUGGGGACUACGAUCGCAAGAUUAAAACUUAAAGGAAUUGACGGGG
RNAcentral lists this ribosomal RNA (397 nucleotides) under uncultured bacterium. RNAcentral's name for it is "partial 16S ribosomal RNA". It matches the Rfam family "Bacterial small subunit ribosomal RNA", at positions 523 to 918 of the family's 1533-position model. The record is from RNAcentral.